UCAAUAUCCACAAGGUUAUAAUCCACAGUAAGAGCAUUAGCAUGGUCCUUGGCAAACGCACACCAUCAGUUCCGCCAUUCCCACCUGGCUCUCAUUUCCGCGUCCCGCUUUCUCUCACCUAGUCACCUGUUCUUUUCAUUGCUUCCUAAGACCCCACCCUUCUCUUCAUCUCUUUUUUUACUUCCGUUAAUUAAAACACCACGGAAUGGAACAGACUCCGCUUCUGCGUCACUAAAUGGUAAAAUGGUAAAUGGCACACUUAUAUAGCGCUUUUAUCCAAAGCGCUUUACACUGUGUCUCAUUUACCCAUUCACACACCAAUGGUAGCAGAGCUGCCAUGCAAGGCGUUAACUUGCCAUCGGGAGCAACUUGGGGUUCAGUGUCUUGCCCAAGGACACUUUGGCAUGUGGAGUCAUGCUGGCUGGGAAUCAAACCGCCAACCCUACGAUUGGUGGACAACCCGCUCUACCACCUGAUCCACAGCCACCCCUGUCACUGGGCAGCUAUCUGUUACAAAUGAAUGGGAAAAUAUCCUUGGCAUCCCUGCAAUUCAAGGAUGUUGUAAUUGGUAAGUUGUGAUGUCAAAAGUAUCUGUACCAAGUUGAUACUAAAAUUUUAAAAAGAAUGAUACGAUAAGUUUUUUUUUCAGUACCGGCAGUACCAAGUAUUCUCCUGCUUUCUGAUUGACUUUCUUUUGUAGGUAUUAAUUAACCGUGAUUUCCACUCAGCCAUCUUACUUGAAUUUGUGUAGGUUAGGAAUAAGACUGAGGAUGGAGUUGUACAGUUUUGUAGUGUGUAUCAUUUGUAAAUAUUGUUAACUUCUUUACCAUAGCCAUGCUGAGGGAGGUGUUGACUAAAUUAGAGAUGGUGCUGGACCAACAAACCACUGAGCUUGCUUCAACUACAGGUGUUCCAGGUGCAGUCUUUGGAUACUGAUGAAGAUUUACUGCCCUGCAAGAUCUUCCUCAACUGCAUAGUCUGGAGCAAAGGAUGCAACAGAGCCCAGAUUGCAAGCAAAAACUGGUGAGAAUUUUUUUCUUUUUUUGUUAACAAUUGUUUGCACAAUUACACAGCUACUGAGAGUGUUUGUUUUCUCAAGGUGACACACUCGUACUCAAAGCACAACAUUCAACACCACUUUGAUAUGAGGGAACAGUUAUGACCUAAUCUUUGGUAGAGGAGCAAAACAUGGAAAGCACACAGGGCAGGGUAACUGCAGGAGUAGUGAGAAGCACUGACACAGUUAACGAGGCAAUACAUGCUUAUUAAUUAUUUAUAUUUUAUAUUAUUUUAUAUUAUAUUAUUGUUUUAAAAAUCAUCGGUUUCGGGUAAACUGGUUGACGCUUAUUGACAGGGCAGAUGUGCUUGACUGCACCUGGCGCAUAUUGAAGAGGGUGAUUGCUAACUCCCUGGCAAAGAACCUCAAUUGGAGGGGAGUCAAUGGAAAGACUUCACUGGCCACUCUCGAGCUUGGAGAGGUCAUGAUUGAAACCUCUUCACGGCUAAAGCUGCAGAGAUGGAGGUUGAGGGGACCAUGAAGAGGUGGCUCCAGCUGGCAUCAGAUCGAGAGUGCGGGCGCAAGAGAAGACUUUUGAAAACUUUUGCAAAAAGAAGCCCUUUCCAGUAGCGGUUAUAUGAUGUUCCGAUCCAUCUUUUCACACUGAGGACAAUCGAAGGACUCGUACACGACUAUUCCAAAAGGUGCAAACAUUCACUGAUGCUCAAGAAGACAGUGAUUAACAUUCAUCAUUUUACCUGAGAAAAAAGCGCUAUUAGGCGGCAGGUAAAGUGAACUGUACACUUACAUUUAUUCAUUUAGCAGACGUUUUUAUCCAAAGCGACUUAAAAUAAUAAAAUUGCUUAUUUACUCAUAAGAAACAUCGGUAUAUUAUGAAUAUCAUUUGAAUGGUUUAAACUAUAUAUGUAGUGUCAAUUCAGGAAUAUCAUUAUACGUUUGUAUGCCGAGUGAAAUUUCUGUUGUCUACUGUUCAGUGUCUGUUGUUUGUUCAGUAGUCAAACACACAGUAAAAUAAAGUCUUUUGGUAACAAGUGAGCAGAUCACAGUUAUGUUAGAUUAAGUUAGAAUAUAUUAGAGUAGAUGUGUAUCUUUUCAAUAGUUGUAUAAUUAAAUUUUGGGUCAUUGAUCUUUUACUCUAACAUGAAACCUGUCAAGUUAUUUUAAAAGAAUCAGUUACCAUAAUUUUACUUUACAAAACAAUACAUAACUAUGUAAAUUCUUUUUAUAUAUUUAUUUAUGUUAAUUGUUCAUAUCUAUGGGUACUAUUCAGGCCAUCAGCAUGAAGAAAAAAAAAAAUCCCUGGGAGAAUCAACGUGUCCUUCAGGAGAGGCCCAUCAGGUCAUUUACUUUGGGGCUCAUCUGAAGAGGCAAGAAGCAUUAAAGACAAUCCUUCUUUGCAAGAGAAGUCAACACCUCAAAGAAAAGAUGUGGUCAGGAACAAUACAGCCACCCGCUCCAUUCAAUCCACCUGCUAGUGGUAUUCCUGAAGACGUACCUCUGACACAGGCAGCAGUUGAGAAGACACCAAAAAAACAAAUUAGAUCCUGUUUAGCUUGUGGUCAGCCAAAUUCUCAUUACAUGGGUGAUGGCUCCUCUGUAUAUUUCUUUUAGCAGGCUGGUGAUGUUAAAUACUUCUACUGCUCCAGGAAAGUCUUUGAGGCAUACUCUGCAGAGGGCCUUCUGGUCAUCUGUGCAGGUUCUGCCACCAGCCACUAAAACAAGGACCCAAUAGCCCUCAUAUCCACACUGGUUUCCCUGGAGCGGCAGGCAAAUACAUUUACUGUCCUUCUAAAGUGCUCUCCCUGUAUCAAGUACAGGGAAUGAAUGCAGAGACGACAUGGGCAGAGUUUCAGCAGUCCUCAUUCUAUGAGGCUGAGAGCCAGAGGUGGAUUGUUGAAAAGAGAAAAUAACUUUGUUGUGAAACACAAUAUUUAUGGUCUGUGCAUGGCAUGUCUGAUUGCAAGCCAAGCACAAGGUUGAAUUUUGGUAAAUAGUUACAAAUCCUGUGUAAUACUGUUGUCCAUGAAUCGCAUUCUACUUUUUCUGUGCUCGCUCUCUCUCUCUCUACCAUUGUGGAAUUGUGUAUAGACAACAUUGUAUUUAAAAAAACAAAACAAAAUUGUCCUGUGUAUUUGUAAAUAUGUUUUAUCUAGCUUGUAUUUGUAAAUGUUUUAAAAUCUUAGUCCUUAUUUGCAAUACAUUUUCAAUAACUUACUAUAACACACUCUGCAUAUAUUAUUUAGAUAGUUAUUUUAAUUUUGACCAACUGUUAAUUUCACAUUCUUCUUUAACAGUUAAUUUUACACCCUGAAAGAGUAUCGAAAGAGUAAAUGUUGACAAUGCCGCUUUUAAAAAAUUACAUAGAUACAAUAUGUAACAGAUAAUAUAAUAUAAAUAUUUGAACCGAUGUUUUUACGUUAGGUUCGUCCGACCCUCCUCCUUCAUUUUCCUCACUUUCUAUUGGCUAGUCAGCGCUCUACACCUACGUGUGACUGGCCCCCGCGUGGCAGGUGAGAAUUCUACCACUGAACCACCAAUGCUUAUCUUAACGGAUCAACGACAGUGCAGAGUGUGCUUUUCAUUAAGUAUUGUUCUGAUUAAACAGUUUGGUUUCAAAAUAGAAAAGGAGCAUCCUAAGUCUCUUGUGUAUUUCAGCAGCACGGAGUUCGUCUAGUUUGGGCAGAAAUGAUAAGGUUUGUAAUGUUCUUUUGGUGAAGGCUUAACUUCCAAAAGUCACUUCUGCAUUGGCCAGGAAUUGAACCUGGGCCUCCCGCGUGGCGGGCGAGAAUUCUACCACUGAACCACCAAUGCUUAGUUUAAUAAGCUAAAGACUUCGCAGAGUGUGCUGUUCAGGUAAGUAUUGUGGCGCUUCAGCAAUUUGGUUUCAGAAUUGAAAAGGAGCAUCCUAAGUCUGUUGUAUAUUUCAGCAGCAUGGAGUUCGUCUAGUUUGGGCAGAAUUGAUAAGGCUUGUAAAGUUCUUUGGGUGAAGGCUCAAUAGUCAAAACUCUGCUGUACAUUGGUUGGGAAUUGAACGCGGGCCUCCUGCAUGGCAGGUGAAAAUGUUACCACUGAAACACCAAUGCUUAUUUUAAAGAACCAAAGACUUUGCAGGGUGCGAUUUACAGACGAGUAUUGCGUUCCUUCAGCAAUUUGGUUUAAAAUUCUAAAGGAGAAUUUCUUGUAUAUUUCAGCAGCAUUGAGCUCGUCCACUACCCUAGUUUGGGCAGAAUUGAUAAGGCUUGUGAAGUGCUUUGGGUGAAGACUCCAUAUGCAAAACUCUGCUGUGCAUUGGUGGGGAAUCAAACCCAGACUUCAAAGACCCUGCUGAGUGUGCUUUUUUUCAGGUAAGUAUUGUGCUGAUUCAGCAAUUUGGUUUCAUAAUUGAAAAGGAGAAUCCUAAGUCUCUUCCAUAUUUCAGCAGCACGGAGUACCCUAGUUUGGGCAGAAUUGUUAAGGCGUGUAAAGUUCUUUGGGUGAAGGCUCUUGCACCGCAAACGUCUCCAAAACUCAGUUGUGCAUUGGCCUGGAAUCUAACCCGGACUUCACAGAGGGUGCUUUCCAGGAAGCUGCCUUAAUCACGAUGAACCCAGGGUACGCAGGCAGGACCGAGCUCCGAGACAACCUGGAGGCCCGCUUCAGAUCCGUCUCUAUGAUUGUGCCCGACCACGCCGUCAUCGCAGAGGUGUGCUCGGGUGCUGUCAUUCAUUACAUUAUGUAAUGAACGCAAUAACGGAUGUAUUCUGGCGUAUUACAGAACCGUUUCCAUGUUGAACCCGCUUGUUCACGUUGUCUCUUUUGCUGUAGGUGGACUUGUGAGCUGAGGGCUUCAAGUCCAGUGAGACUCUGGCAAGGAAGAUGAUUCAGCUGUAUAAGCUGUGCAGCAAGCGGCUUUCCCGGCAGGACCACUACGACUUCGGCAUGAGAGCCAUGUUCUGUUAUCGCCAUGGCCGGGUCUCUGAAGCAAGAGAACCCACACCUGAGCGAGAACGUGGUGUUGAUUAGAGCGCUACGAUACUCCAACCUGCCCAAGUUACUCAAGGAUGACGCAGAACUUAAAAUAAAAUAAAUUGAUAAAUAGUAAAGAACGCCAAAGCUUACAUAUGGAGUAUCAAAGGUCGUUAUCACAGGAUCACUGGAAUCAGGCACUAGGAGGAAAUUCCAGGACAAAUUAGGAAAUACAGUCAAACCUUGGAUUGCGAGUAACUUGGUUUGCGAGUGUUUUGCAAGACGAACAAAAAAUUUUAAUCAAUUUUAAAUUGAUAUACGAGCGAGGUCUUGCAAUACGAGUACCUGUAGUACGUAUAUGCGGCUUUGUCUGUCGAGCGUCAUGUGAACACUACUGAGCUGAUGGUUCUUCUCUCACAUGCUCCGUCUCAGUCAUUGUGCCUCGUUGACUUGUAUAGUCAACAUCUAUGUGAGCGUAUACUGUUUGCUAUAGUGCUGUAACUGUUGUGACUGUGUAGUAACUGUACUGCGACAAUGGCCCCAUGAAGAAAAAAUUUGAAAAGGAAGGCGAUAAGAAAAAGGAGAUGAUUACGGUGGAAGUUAAGAAGGAAAUCAUCGAGAAGCACAAACGAGGUAUGCGAGUAGCUGAGUUGCGAGUAGUCAGUUGUCGAUGAAAUUGUGUCCUUGGGGAAGACCAUGGGACUGGACGUGAAUGAAGACGACAUUCAAGAGCUGGUGGAGGAACAUGGCCAGGAGCUGACCACUGACGAACUGAUGGAUCUGCAUCACGAGCAACAGCAAGAGGUUAUGGGGGAGGUCUCGUCUGAGGAGGAGAAAAAGACGGAGAAAUCCCUCACUUCAAAUGAGAUUAAGGAGGUGUGUAAAAUGUGGGAAACAGCGCAAAAUUUUGUAGAAAAGCACCACCCGAGUAAGACUGUAGCAGUGCGAGCGAUGAAUCUGUUUAACGACAAUGUAAUGUCACAUUUCCGCGAAAUCCUUAAAAGGAGGCAAAAGCAAGUGUCACUGGAUAGGUGCCUUGUUAACGUUGUACAAAAAGAAAAAGAUUCCGGCGGGCCAACAGACAGCAGUGAUUCCAUUAGUAACAGUGAAAGUCCCCCUACACAAUAAUGAAUAAAUUUGAUUACUUUAUAUUAAAUUUAAAUAAUAAAAAUAUAAAAUGGUAUUUUGUGUUAAUCAUUAUUAUGUAUAUGAAUAUUUUUGGGUUUUGGAACAAAUUAUCUGAGUUUCCACUAUGUCUUAUGGGGAAAUUCGCUUUGAUAUACGAGUGCUUUGGAUUACGAGCACGUUUCCGGAACGAAUUAUGCUCGCAAUCCAAGGUUUGACUGUACAAUUAACUGACAUUUGCAAAUUCUUUGCAACUAAAAAGCUGUAAUUAUAUACUAUAUAACUUUUUUUUUAAAGCAUUUAAAGUAUAUAACAUUAGCACCUUGUAAUGUUAUACCAGAAGAAAAGUAAAGAAUCCUGGAACAUCUGAACAUCCAUAAUCUGAAAAUCUUGACCCUAGUGUCAAUCGAGUCAAUCCAAUCUUUCUUGUGUGCGUUUAGUGGUAUUCUGUCGGACCUCUUUCCUGGUGUGGGCAUCCCCGAGCACGACUACGGCGCGCUUCAGUCGAACAUCGAGGCAGCUCUAUGCGCCCGCUCCCUGCAGCCCGUCUCCAGCAUGACCGCCAAGGUGAUCCAGCUGUACGAGACCAUGCUGGUGCACCAGGGCGUCUUGCUGGUGGGCCCUACAAGAGGCGGUAAGACCACGGCGUACCGUGCCCUCGCUGAUGCACCCUCCACGAGACAGAGGGCUGCGAGGUGAAUCCCUUCUACAAGCCCAUCGAGACCUACAUGCUCAACCCACAGUCAGUGAGCAUGGACGAGCUGUAUGGUGAAGACGACCCUCUCACACUGGAGUGUAGUGCCAUCAAACCGUCCCUCGGCAGUGACACCGCCGACACGCACAAGUGGGUGGUGAGUGACGUACCUGUGGACGUGCCUGUGGAUUGAGAAAAUUACCGCCGUUUUGGACAACAACAAGACGCUCUGUCUGGCUAACGGUGAAAGGAUCAAGCUCACACCUUCUACACACAUGUUAUUUGAGGUGUUACCCAUCAGACACAGAUAGCACUGGUCCUAAAAACCAUCACAAACAAGCCCAAGCAUGUCAUUUCCAAGAAGAUUUUUUUUUUUUUUUUACAUUAAACGCGUUCCUGAAGGAAAGGUCACACACGAACGUAUCUUUAAGACUUCACUCUUUCACACGCCUAUAACGAGCGAUAAACGCAUUCGAAGCAUGUUAUAAAGCCUCCGUAAUGCAUUAUGCAUAGUAUUUAAAUUAAUAUUAUUACAAUAACAUGCACUACACUACAUUAUGCACAAUAGAUUUGAAGUCUUGGCUGACUCUGGACCAAUAAGGGAACCUGCAAAUGUAAGUGAAAACCAAAUUCAAGGUGUCUCAAAUCAAAAACUGCUGUAGAUUUAACAUUGACAAAAUAUUUCAAAUUGUUACAGGCUCUACAUCAUUCAGAAAUUCUGGCGGCCACAACACCGGCUAAUCCUUAUCCACCAAGUGUGUUCAGACAGGUCACAAAAUCCUUCAUUAAACUUUCUCCAAACCAGUCAACACUGGAAAAGGUCAAACAAAACAGCACAGUGGAUGGACAAUAAUAUAGAGAUCUUAAAAGAACACUACAAUGAAGUAAUAGCAACCAUUUUGUCUGAAGUAAGAGAAUUGGACAUUCAGGCUUUCAACAGAGCAGCAACCUGGAGCAAAACAAGAUAUAGAAAGAAAUUCACAGCGAGUUCAGCACAGAGCCUGAAAUCAAUGUUAACAGAAAUGCCAAAAAAGUCACUCACCCCAUUGGCUGAAUCCUUCAAUGACCCUGAAUCGUUUCCACCUCUUAAACCGAGUACGCAACCUGUUAUGGGUUCCUAUGCGGGGACCGUAAGGGAAAAUAGGGGGUUCGGUAGAGAGGGGAAAGCCAGACUUUCAUUAACCCCAACACAGGAUGGCCCUAAAGGAAAAAGGGGAGAAAGGAACUUAAAACAACAUGCAGAACAAACAGUAGAAGUGCCUAUGGUUACAGAUUUAACUAAGGAACUACAAAUAAUAAUGUAAGAGAAACCAGUUAGUUUACCAUCAACCUCUACUCUACUGAGGGAGGACCUGGAGAGCAGGAAACAAACCAAGCAGCUUGAACCAUACAGCAAUGUAGUGUGUUAGGAAAGUGGUUUCAAUGGUAUGAAGACCUGCUGGAGGAACUUGCAAUCAGAGAUGUUCCAUCACAUCUGUGGAAUUGUGAUGUAUUUGUUGUGCAAGACCAGUUUUACUCUACCCGUGUGGUUGGGGAGGUGGGUAAACCCUGUGUAGAGGUUACUGCUGGGGAGAAAGGAGAGACCACGACAGUCCUUCAGCAUUCAAUGCAGCAGGAACAUUUAGGGUGUGCUGUUGUCAGUGCAACUCAUUGUACCACGAGAGCUGUGGAGAUGUGCUUUCUAUUAAAUGAAAUAUAUUUACGGUGUUGCUGCUAUGGCACACUCAACACAAUAGUGUCAAUUUACUGUUAAAAUUAAAAUGAUUUCAGUCAAAAUUACCUGUUAUCUUUUUAUAUUGGCCCAUUUUAACUGAACAACCGGCCCAAUUUGCCUGAACAUUGGACUGAACAUUUUAAGAAUUCAUGCUGGUUUUAUUUUCUAAUUUAUUUGACUUUUUUUAUUCUAUGGUAUGCUGGUAUGGCAAGAAAUAAAUUAUAAAUGCUACUUACCUUUUAAUGGUGUUUUCAAACUCUGUGUGUGUGUUUUUACAUAAUCUGUUUACAGUGAAUUCUAUAAAAGAUUGGGUAUGAAUGUGGAUUUAAAGAUAAACAGCUUUAAUCUCUAUGGUUACGUGAACACAGUACACUAAGUAAAGAUCUCUGCAUAUGGGUGGACUGAAAAUGAGGAGAUGGGGCAGGCUCAAAAAUCAGUUCUUUAUUUUCCUUCACUAUUUAUGUCUCUUUUCAGGAAUUUUAUUUCACUAUGCACAUAUCUAGACACACAGCUGACCUGUUGCUGUCCUGUGUCUGUCCUCUCUCUCCCCGUUUUAUCCUGCUCAUUGAAACAUAGAACACCUGUUACAAAAUCCUGCACAGGUGUAGAUCCUUACCACUCACUUUUCCCUGGCUCCGCCCUCCAUUCACAAACCGGUGUUCAACCAAACCCUGCCUCCACAAAUAAGUAGUAGGGAACUUCUAUAUUUCCCAGUCUACCUCAUUUCCCUGCUUAUUAUGAUGCUUCAUAAAAACACCAUUUAGUACACAUAAAAUCCAUCAGUCCAUCAUUUAACCAUAGGUGUGAGGUGUUUCAUGCAUCUCUUCGUGUAAAUCCCUUCACUUUUCCUUUCUUCACUUACUGUAUUUCCAGUCUUUCCCAAUUAACCUGAACCAUGUUGUCUAGAAUUACCAAACCAUGUCUGAAAAUGAUUCAACUAUAAACAUAUGUACAUGACAGAUUAUUAAUCAUUAUGCUUACUGUUUACAGUAAUUACAUACACUUUGUUAGUGUUUAGUGGUAUUGCCUGUUCAUUGAUUGAACUUGGGGUAGCCUUCCACAAGCUUCUCAUGAUUUGCUGUAAUUUGUGCUCAUUCCUCCUUGCCUUGCUUUACAUUUUAUUUUUCCCCAAUAACCUGUGUUCAAUUCCCCUUACUCGCCCUACUAGGCCAAAACCAGUGUGCACUUGCAGCAUGAGGAGACGAGUGUGUAGUAGGGUGUUGUUU
This is a long non-coding RNA of Ictalurus furcatus (blue catfish), 9722 nucleotides long. RefSeq lists it as uncharacterized. The record is from RefSeq and is a predicted model, not a curated record. Lineage: Eukaryota; Metazoa; Chordata; Actinopteri; Siluriformes; Ictaluridae. The transcript has 6 exons.